UUAGGACUUGAAAUACGGAUGUCAUUAUAUAAUCUUAGUUGAUUAAAAAAAGGCAUGAAAACCAUAUUGAAACAGCAGAUUCCAUGGAAAAAGAGAAUACAUCAAAGGAUUUGUUUAGCAAUUUACCAAAAGAAAUUAUUGGGCGCAUAGUUUCUUUUCUACCAAAUGAAUCAUCAAUGGAAACCAUCCUCAUAUCUACAAGGUGGAGAGACUUAUGGAAUGAAACUAUUGUUAGAUAUGGAACAAAAGAAGAAAUCACUAGUGUUGUUACUAAAUUUCUUACAAGUUUUGAUGAUUUGGAUCCCUUAAAGCAUCCAAGAAAGCUUCAAUUCCACUAUGAAGAUAAAGUACUAUUAGCUACUAUUGCAAAUAAUAGUAAGCUUCUACUAGAUUUCUCUCCUUUGAAGAAAGAGUUCAUUGAAAAUAUUCAAAUGCAUUUUGAGCUUCAUUUCAAGCUCAAUAACCAACAAAAGAUAAGCUACAAAUCUUUUACUUGCAAUAUUUUCUCACUCAAAUCUCUCUAUUUGAAAUCAAUAAGCUAUUUGACUAGUGAGGUAGCUUCAUCCAUUAUUUCAAGUUUGGAUCAUCUUGAGAAUUUGGUAAUCAUUUCAUGUAAUGGAUUGCAAUCUUUGAGCAUUGACUCCAAUUUUGAGCUUCACAAGUUAACUAUCUUGGAUUGCUUACAAUUGAAAUAUCUUCACCUUAAAACUUCUAAACUCAAAUCAUUUCAAUUUAGAGGACCUCUUCCUUGGAUUUUGCCUGAAUUUCAUUUCAACCUUAGUGAUGCAAUGCUUGAUUUUAGAUUAGGACCAAGCUGUGGUAACUUUAAGACUAAGGAUUUUGAUGCAACUUUAUUGACUAUAAAGAACUCUCAAGUUCUUACACUUUGCAGAUGGACUUUUGAGGUUUUACUUUGCAGGAACUAAUAUGGCCAUCAAUUUGUCCUCCAUAUGGAUGCUUUAAUUUCUAUAACUUGAGAGAGUUAUGGUGGAUUGAUAACUAUAAAGAUGAAUAUUGCAUGGAUGCCUUAUUCUCCUUCUUGAAAUUAUGUCCUUCCUUGGAGCAACUUUUUGUUACCAUUGAUGCUAAAAGUUAUUCAACUGGAAGGUCCGUUUCAUGGUUCAUGCAAGCAACUAAAUGCACAAAAUUAGAACAUGUAAAUUUGAUAAAGUUUAUGGGAUUUACAAGUCGAAAAGAUGAAAUUUCAUUGGCAAAAUGUUUAAUUCAUCUAAUCAAGGGAAAACUUCCAAAGAUAAACAUAUCAGAUGGGAGUUGCUUGGACGAGUUUUUGAAGUGAUUAUUCACAUCAACCACAUUAAACUCAGACUUUCUUCAAGUAGCAAAGAAAGGAGAAUAAUAAAUAAUAAAUUUCUCACGGAUGUAAGCAAGAUAUUACAAAUGAAUUAUCCAGUUAUAUUUUUUUUCUUCCAUUUUUUAUAUUUUUAUUUCUAUUUGAUUUGAUCAAUUUUGUGGAGAAGCAGAGCAAGUGAUGUAAUCUAAUCAUUUUUCUUACAAUAUAGUCUUAUCGUUUUGAUCCAAAAUGUACAAGAAAUCUUAUUAAGAAU
Medicago truncatula (barrel medic) is the source of this 1565-nucleotide RNA transcript. It is a transcript of the gene named F-box protein At2g39490, with no coding region annotated. The record is from RefSeq and is a predicted model, not a curated record. The transcript is spliced from 3 exons. Lineage: Eukaryota; Viridiplantae; Streptophyta; Magnoliopsida; Fabales; Fabaceae.